This is a long non-coding RNA of Aphidius gifuensis, 712 nucleotides long. RefSeq lists it as uncharacterized. The record is from RefSeq and is a predicted model, not a curated record. Lineage: Eukaryota; Metazoa; Arthropoda; Insecta; Hymenoptera; Braconidae. The transcript is spliced from 2 exons.
ACUGCCUUCCCCUGUUUUGUUGUCGACGAUUUGACGCCGGGCGUCCCGACGUCACUUUCAUCCUGCCGACACAAUUUUUUUAUACUUAUAUCAAACCAAUAUUUUUUUUUAUUUAUUUAUUUAUAAUUAUAUUUUAUUUUUUGGCUUAUUUUUUACAACAUAUUUUACAAUCACAUCAAUCUUUUUGGCAGACAAGGGUUCACCAAGUCUGCCAAUGUUGCAGUGUUUGUAGAUCAGUGUAUGAAAGAUGCUACAAGAAAAAAAAAAUAUAUACCGUCCGCCAUCUCGGUGUAAUCAGACACCGUUGGUAAAAAUAAAAAUGUAUUUUUCAGAAGAAUAAAAAGGAGAUAUUGAAUGUAAUUGAAAACAGAAAGAUCGUCUCUUGUGUGAUCUAUGCCGCGACUUGUUACCGCACGCGCGAUCAUCUUAUAUUCAAACCGGUGUCUUUCAUUACUCAAUUUAUAUUUUUUUUUUUUGUUAAAUUUUGCUUUAAAAUCAUCUACGUAUUUUUCCUUUUAACCCAAUUAUAUUCAUUUAAUUUUUUAACAAAUAAUUUUCCACUUGGAAAAAUUAAAAAUAAAUAUAUAAAGUCGAAAAGUUUUAAAAAAAACAACAAACAAAUGAUAAAUAUAAUCCUUUGAAUUUUGUUUAAAAAAAUUUUUGUAUGUCCAUUGGUUUUUUAAGUAGGUGUAAAUACUGUAGACGAGCUAAA